UUAGAGGUUGAUCCUGGCUCAGGAUGAACGCUAGCGGCGUGCCUAAUGCAUGCAAGUCGAACGGGAACCUUUGGACUCGUCUGAAGGUGAGAGUGGCGAACGGGUGAGUAACACGUUGGUGACCUGCCCCAGAGAGGGGGAUAACCAUUGGAAACGAUGGCUAAUACCCCGGAUGUCAUUACUUGUUAGAGGGUAAUGACUAAAGCUCCGGCGCUCUGGGAGGGGCCUGCGGCCCAUCAGCUAGUUGGCAGGGUAAUGGCCUACCAAGGCAAAGACGGGUAGGGGACGUGAGAGCGUGAACCCCCACACUGGUACUGACACACGGACCAGAUACCUACGGGUAGCAGCAGCAAGGAAUAUUGCCCAAUGGACGCAAGUCUGAGGCAGCAACGCCGCGUGGAGGAUGAAGGCCUUCGGGUUGUAAACUCCUUUUCUGGGGGAAGAGAAAGGACGGUACCCCAGGAAUAAGUCUCGGCUAACUACGUGCCAGCAGCCGCGGUAAAACGUAGGAGGCAAGCGUUAUCCGGAUUUACUGGGCGUAAAGCGCAUGUAGGCUGUUUCUUAAGUCGGACGUGAAAGCUCCUGGCUCAACUGGGAGAGGUCGUUCGAAACUAGGAAACUUGAGGAUGGUAGAGGAGAGUGGAAUUCCCGGUGUAGUGGUGAAAUGCGUAGAUAUCGGGAGGAACACCAGUGGCGAAGGCGGCUCUCUGGGCCAUUCCUGACGCUAAGAUGCGAAAGCUAGGGGAGAGAACGGGAUUAGAAACCCCGGUAUUCCUAGCCGUAAACGAUGUCAACUAGGUGUAGGGGGUAUCCAACCCCUCUGUGCUGUAGUAACGCAUUAAGUUGACCGCCUGGGGACUACGGCCGCAAGGCUAAAACUCAAAGGAAUUGACGGGGACCCGCACAAGCAGCGGAGCGUGUGGUUUAAUUCGAUACUACACGAAGAACCUUACCCGGGUUUGACAUCCAGGUGGUAGGGAACCGAAAGGCGACCGACCCUUCGGGGAGCCUGGACAGGUGCUGCAUGGCUGUCGUCAGCUCGUGUCGUGAGAUGUCCGGUUAAGUCCGGUAACGAGCGCAACCCUUGCUGUAUGUUAUACGUGUCAUACAGGACUGCCGGUUUAGUGCCGGAGGAAGGCGGGGAUGACGUCAAGUCAGCAUGGCCUUUAUAUCCGGGGCUACACACACGCUACAAUGGCCAGUACAACAGGUUGCAAAACCGCGAGGUGGAGCCAAUCCCCAAAACUGGUCUCAGUUCAGAUUGCAGGCUGCAACUCGCCUGCAUGAAGUCGGAGUUGCUAGUAACCGCGCGUCAGCUAUAGUGCGGUGAAUACGUUCUCGGGCCUUGCACACACCGCCCGUCACGUCAUGGAAGCUGGCAACACCUGAAGUCGGUAUCCUAACCCGCAAGGGAGGGAACUGCCAAAGGUGGGGCUGGUAACUGGGACGAAGUCGUAACAAGGUAACCAAUCACUAGU
This 1478-nucleotide ribosomal RNA is filed under the name uncultured prokaryote. RNAcentral's name for it is "partial 16S ribosomal RNA". It matches the Rfam family "Bacterial small subunit ribosomal RNA". The record is from RNAcentral.